This 302-nucleotide ribosomal RNA is filed under the name Klebsiella pneumoniae subsp. pneumoniae. RNAcentral describes it as "bacterial SSU rRNA". It matches the Rfam family "Bacterial small subunit ribosomal RNA", at positions 803 to 1104 of the family's 1533-position model. Lineage: Bacteria; Pseudomonadati; Pseudomonadota; Gammaproteobacteria; Enterobacterales; Enterobacteriaceae. The record is from RNAcentral.
UAAACGAUGUCGAUUUGGAGGUUGUGCCCUUGAGGCGUGGCUUCCGGAGCUAACGCGUUAAAUCGACCGCCUGGGGAGUACGGCCGCAAGGUUAAAACUCAAAUGAAUUGACGGGGGCCCGCACAAGCGGUGGAGCAUGUGGUUUAAUUCGAUGCAACGCGAAGAACCUUACCUGGUCUUGACAUCCACAGAACUUUCCAGAGAUGGAUUGGUGCCUUCGGGAACUGUGAGACAGGUGCUGCAUGGCUGUCGUCAGCUCGUGUUGUGAAAUGUUGGGUUAAGUCCCGCAACGAGCGCAACCC